RNAcentral lists this ribosomal RNA (484 nucleotides) under uncultured bacterium. RNAcentral's name for it is "partial 16S ribosomal RNA". It matches the Rfam family "Bacterial small subunit ribosomal RNA", at positions 30 to 507 of the family's 1533-position model. The record is from RNAcentral.
AUUGAACGCUGGCGGCAGGCCUAACACAUGCAAGUCGAGCGGAUGAAGGGAGCUUGCUCCUGGAUUCAGCGGCGGACGGGUGAGUAAUGCCUAGGAAUCUGCCUGGUAGUGGGGGAUAACGUCCGGAAACGGGCGCUAAUACCGCCUACGUCCUGAGGGAGCAAGUGGGGGAUCUUCGGACCUCACGCUCUCAGAUGAGCCUAGGUCGGAUUAGCUAGUUGGUGGGGUAAAGGCCUACCAAGGCGACGAUCCGUAACUGGUCUGAGAGGAUGAUCAGUCACACUGGAACUGAGACACGGUCCAGACGCCUAAGGUAGGCAGCAGUGGGGAAUAUUGGACAAUGGGCGAAAGCCUGAUCCAGCCAUGCCGCGUGUGUGAAGAAGGUCUUCGGAUUGUAAAGCACUUUAAGUUGGGAGAAAGGGCAGUAAGUUAAUACCUUGCUGUAGUGACGUUACCAACAGAAUAAGCACCGGCUAACUUCGUG